Molecule: ribosomal RNA, 120 nt
Filed under: uncultured bacterium
Lineage: Bacteria
Description: partial 16S ribosomal RNA
Rfam family: Bacterial small subunit ribosomal RNA
Source: RNAcentral
GCGCUAUCGGAUGAGCCUAGGUCGGAUUAGCUAGUUGGUGGGGUAAGGGCCUACCAAGGCGACGAUCCGUAACUGGUCUGAGAGGAUGAUCAGUCACACCGGGACUGAGACACGGCCCGG